Molecule: ribosomal RNA, 1049 nt
Filed under: Bacillus sp. (in: firmicutes)
Lineage: Bacteria; Bacillati; Bacillota; Bacilli; Caryophanales; Bacillaceae
Description: bacterial SSU rRNA
Rfam family: Bacterial small subunit ribosomal RNA
Source: RNAcentral
GGAGGCAUUGCGCGUGCUAUACAUGCAAGUCGAGCGGACAGAAGGGAGCUUGCUCCCGGAUGUUAGCGGCGGACGGGUGAGUAACACGUGGGUAACCUGCCUGUAAGACUGGGAUAACUCCGGGAAACCGGAGCUAAUACCGGAUAGUUCCUUGAACCGCAUGGUUCAAGGAUGAAAGACGGUUUCGGCUGUCACUUACAGAUGGACCCGCGGCGCAUUAGCUAGUUGGUGGGGUAAUGGCUCACCAAGGCGACGAUGCGUAGCCGACCUGAGAGGGUGAUCGGCCACACUGGGACUGAGACACGGCCCAGACUCCUACGGGAGGCAGCAGUAGGGAAUCUUCCGCAAUGGACGAAAGUCUGACGGAGCAACGCCGCGUGAGUGAUGAAGGUUUUCGGAUCGUAAAGCUCUGUUGUUAGGGAAGAACAAGUGCGAGAGUAACUGCUCGCACCUUGACGGUACCUAACCAGAAAGCCACGGCUAACUACGUGCCAGCAGCCGCGGUAAUACGUAGGUGGCAAGCGUUGUCCGGAAUUAUUGGGCGUAAAGGGCUCGCAGGCGGUUUCUUAAGUCUGAUGUGAAAGCCCCCGGCUCAACCGGGGAGGGUCAUUGGAAACUGGGAAACUUGAGUGCAGAAGAGGAGAGUGGAAUUCCACGUGUAGCGGUGAAAUGCGUAGAGAUGUGGAGGAACACCAGUGGCGAAGGCGACUCUCUGGUCUGUAACUGACGCUGAGGAGCGAAAGCGUGGGGAGCGAACAGGAUUAGAUACCCUGGUAGUCCACGCCGUAAACGAUGAGUGCUAAGUGUUAGGGGGUUUCCGCCCCUUAGUGCUGCAGCUAACGCAUUAAGCACUCCGCCUGGGGAGUACGGUCGCAAGACUGAAACUCAAAGGAAUUGACGGGGGCCCGCACAAGCGGUGGAGCAUGUGGUUUAAUUCGAAGCAACGCGAAGAACCUUACCGGUCUUGACGUCCUCUGACAACCCUAAAGAUAGGGCUUUCCCUUCGGGGACAGAGGGCAAGUGGUGCAUGGUUGUUUGUUAGCUCUUGU